CACCGCCCGUCGCUACUACCGAUUGAAUGGCUUAGUGAGGCCUUCGGACUGCUCCAGAAAAUGGGAAACCAUUAUCAGGAGCUGGAAAGUUGGUCAAACUUGGUCAUUUAGAGGAAGUAAAAGUCGUAACAAGGUUUCCGUAGGGUACCGCAAGAAA
This 157-nucleotide non-coding RNA is filed under the name Lipomyces starkeyi NRRL Y-11557. RNAcentral describes it as "Eukaryotic small subunit ribosomal RNA". It matches the Rfam family "Eukaryotic small subunit ribosomal RNA", at positions 1667 to 1831 of the family's 1831-position model. The record is from Rfam by way of RNAcentral. Lineage: Eukaryota; Fungi; Ascomycota; Lipomycetes; Lipomycetales; Lipomycetaceae.